Molecule: long non-coding RNA, 263 nt
Filed under: Sarcophilus harrisii (Tasmanian devil)
Lineage: Eukaryota; Metazoa; Chordata; Mammalia; Dasyuromorphia; Dasyuridae
Description: lncRNA (ENSSHAG00000030180.1)
Source: RNAcentral
GCUGCACCUGGCAUUCUUUAAUAACAGAUAUUCCCUGAAUCUUCCCAGACUCAGACCCCAUGACUCCUUUCACUGUCCAGAAGAUGAAAGGGGUUCAGGACAAGGCUACCCCUGAACCCAGAAAAUUCCAGGGUACCUGGUUUGCUUUUUCAGCAGAACUAAUCUGGAGGGGUUUCAGCUUUUGAAUAAUUUUAAACCAAUAUGAAUGGAGGGAGGAAAUCUGGAGAACUUGGAAGGAGAUGGUGUUGCAUCCAAGAAUAAUU